GACGAACGCUGGCGGCGUGCCUAAUACAUGCAAGUAGAACGCUGAAGGAGGAGCUUGCUCUUCUGGAUGAGUUGCGAACGGGUGAGUAACGCGUAGGUAACCUGCCUGGUAGCGGGGGAUAACUAUUGGAAACGAUAGCUAAUACCGCAUAACAGUAGAUGUUGCAUGACAUUUACUUAAAAGGUGCAAUUGCAUCACUACCAGAUGGACCUGCGUUGUAUUAGCUAGUUGGUGGGGUAACGGCUCACCAAGGCGACGAUACAUAGCCGACCUGAGAGGGUGAUCGGCCACACUGGGACUGAGACACGGCCCAGACUCCUACGGGAGGCAGCAGUAGGGAAUCUUCGGAAAUGGACGGAAGUCUGACCGAGCAACGCCGCGUGAGUGAAGAAGGGUUUCGGAUCGUAAAGCUCUGUUGUAAGAGAAGAACGAGUGUGAGAGUGGAAAGUUCACACUGUGACGGUAGCUUACCAGAAAGGGACGGCUAACUACGUG
This 495-nucleotide ribosomal RNA is filed under the name uncultured bacterium. RNAcentral's name for it is "partial 16S ribosomal RNA". It matches the Rfam family "Bacterial small subunit ribosomal RNA", at positions 28 to 507 of the family's 1533-position model. The record is from RNAcentral.